This 83-nucleotide transfer RNA is filed under the name Lecanora cinereofusca. RNAcentral describes it as "tRNA-Leu". The record is from RNAcentral. Lineage: Eukaryota; Fungi; Ascomycota; Lecanoromycetes; Lecanorales; Lecanoraceae.
GUCCGAGUGCUGGAAUUGGUAGACAGAGCGAUCUUAAGAUUCGCUGGCGUAUUGCCGUAAACGUUCAAGUCGUUUCUUGGAUA